Molecule: long non-coding RNA, 2216 nt
Organism: Oreochromis aureus
Lineage: Eukaryota; Metazoa; Chordata; Actinopteri; Cichliformes; Cichlidae
Source: Ensembl
UAUGGAUUCAUUUGAAAGUGAGAAGCAAAGUGAUUUUUCUACAGGCAGCCAGUGAAGCUGAUGAAGAAAUGGGGUGAUGUUCUCUCUGGAGGGUGUCUGAGUUAUGAUCUAAAAGAUGGCUGUAGCUCAAAACAGGUAAAGCAGGUCACCUACUAACCGCAAGGUUGGUGGUUCGAUGCCUGUGUGCUCCAGUCUUGGGCAAGAUGCUAACAACAUGCUGCUCUCCAAUGCAUCCAUUGGAGUAGGAAUGCAUGUGUAGAUAGGAAGCGCUAGAAGAAGUGAAUGUACAAGUUGUUUAAAGCUGAGAUUGAGUAGACAAGCAUUAUAUAAGAACCAGUCCAUUUCACCAUGCUUCCUUUUGGAGUAUUUUUAAUAGAAUAGAAUUAACAGAAAAACGAUGUAGCUAGAAAACUACAUUUAUAAACUGCAUCAUACACCUGUUAAUUUUUACUGAGUAGUCAAGUUAAGCAGAGUUUUACUGUCAACCCAACAAUAUACACUCAAGUAUACAGUGGGAUAAAAUAUUGUCCUCCUGCAUCAAAGGUGCAAACUGUAAAAAUAAAAUGAAAAAUUCAAAUGUACAACUAUACAGAAAUAAGAUCAACUAAGAAUAAAUACAACAGUAUGGUACCUUAAUAGAAAUAGAAAGAAUCAGGAUGAGCUUAAAUACACUGACAGAGUCAAACAGUACAAUACAGCAUAGUGCAAGUAUUGGAUAUGAGAGGAGAGUGUUAUGUACAGUGUUGUGUUGUACAAGAAGUGUGUAGAGAAGAGGGUCCAGUGUGGAGGAGGGCAACAUGGUGUUCAGGAGCUGGACUGUUUGGGGGAAAAAGUUACUGCACAAUCUCGUAGACCUGCUCCUGAUGCUGCAGAGUCGUCUUCUGGAUGGAAGGGGAGUAAACAGUUGGUGGGAGGGGUGAUGCAGGUCGGCCAUGAUGCUAGUGGCUUUACGAAUGCAGCUUGAGGUGUAAAUAUCCUGUAGACUGGGUAGAGAGCCCCUGUUACUGAGUACAGUAACAGCCAAGAGAUGAUAUUAAGGUAAAACUAUUCAUGGAGACCAACAUUAGUUCAUGUAGAAAACUGUAAACAUGUUCAUUUCUGCUUUAAGUUGGACUUUUUAACACAAGAGUCUUUGUGGCUUACACACACAUGAGGCUAAUUCUUCAUGGAGCUGCUGGUCCAGGUAACAUCCCUGAAGGAGGCCUCAGAGUCUGAGUCGACCACACCACAGAAAUCCACAGUGUCCAACCUCAGUGACACUGUUACUGAGCAGCUUCAUCAGGACAUAAUCAAAGCCUGAGAAGACAGAAACAAUUCAGCAAACUGGAAAUGUUCAGACGCCAGAUCUGAGUGAAGAUACCAAAGAAGCAGGAAUUUCUUUGUCAGCCCGGCUAGCAAUCAUUGGAGCUGUAUUCAUCUGUAUCUCUCUGAUCUCAUGGGGAUUUAUGCUUUAUCAGAAUUGCAAAGAACCCAUCGCCUCACGCAAAACCAGGAAGUUAAUGAGGAAGAAGCUCUCAGCAGGUGAAACUUCUAGCUCAGAUUUAUGACGACAACAACAGCUGGAAGUUGCAGAUCUCAGACUGUGAAUCGAAACUCUUUAUAACACAUCAUGGCACUAAACCAGAUUUGAAGUCUUCAGUUUGAUGCUGUUCAGUAAGUUGGCGUCGAGAACCAACAGAGGGGGAAAAAAACAACAUAAACAAGAGAGAAAAGAUUUGAAUUCAGGGCUUCUGUCCAAUAUUGAUUUCCUUCAACUCAUUUGAACUAUAAAUAUCAUGAGCUGUUAAAAAAAAACAGAAUGAGUUGAAUUAAAGUUAAAGGAAAGUAGAAAACAAUAUUAACGGGAUGGAGCUUCAUGUUUUGUUUAAUAAAGUCUUGUUAUCAUUUUCAUUCACAGUAAAAUGGUUUCUGUACUUUUGUUUUCACGCGUCUGCUAAAAAAGCCCCGAAAAGUACACACACACACACACACACACACACAUAGGCCUUGGAAACCAGCCGCUUGAAGAAAUACACCUGAGAGAGGCAGGAUAACAAACCAGCUGUUCUCCAUGGAACCAGCCAAAGGUUUACUCUCAGUGGCAGGGGAACAAUAUGAGAACAGCACCACCAAGGCUGAAGACGGAGCAAUACGUGAAGAGCAUAUACUAGAAGGACGCAACCCAUAAUGGCAAUGCUCAGUGGCUAGUUGAUCUGAGGGCAGACCUCAGCGACCUC